AGCAGCCGCGGUAAUUCCAGCUCCAAUAGCGUAUAUUAAAGUUGUUGCAGUUAAAAAGCUCGUAGUUGAAUUUCGGGAUCAGUAUGUUGGUCGUGCUUCGGUACGUACUGUCAUUACUGGUUUCUACCUUCUGAAGAACCUUGAUGUCAUUAAUUUGGUGUCUUGGGGAAUCAGGACUGUUACUUUGAAAAAAUUAGAGUGUUUAAAGCAAGCAUACGCUUGAAUACAUUAGCAUGGAAUAAUGAAAUAGGACGUUUGAUUCUAUUUUGUUGGUUUCUAGGAUCGACGUAAUGAUUAAUAGGGAUAGUUGGGGGCAUUAGUAUUCAAUUGUCAGAGGUGAAAUUCUUGGAUUUAUUGAAGACUAACUACUGCGAAAGCAUUUGCCAAGGAUGUUUUCAUUAAUCAAGAACGAAAGUUAGGGGAUCGAAGACGAUCAGAUACCGUCGUAGUCCUAACCAUAAA
RNAcentral lists this ribosomal RNA (462 nucleotides) under uncultured Glomus. RNAcentral's name for it is "SSU rRNA". It matches the Rfam family "Eukaryotic small subunit ribosomal RNA", at positions 569 to 1036 of the family's 1831-position model. Lineage: Eukaryota; Fungi; Glomeromycota; Glomeromycetes; Glomerales; Glomeraceae. The record is from RNAcentral.